RNAcentral lists this ribosomal RNA (433 nucleotides) under uncultured bacterium. RNAcentral describes it as "partial 16S ribosomal RNA". It matches the Rfam family "Bacterial small subunit ribosomal RNA", at positions 29 to 507 of the family's 1533-position model. The record is from RNAcentral.
AACGAACGCUGGCGGCAUGCCUAACACAUGCAAGUCGAACGAGACCUUCGGGUCUAGUGGCGCACGGGUGCGUAACGCGUGGGAACCUGCCCUUAGGUUCGGAAUAACUCCCCGAAAGGGGUGCUAAUACCGGAUAAUGUCUUCGGACCAAAGAUUUAUCGCCUUUGGAUGGGCCUGCGUUGGAUUAGCCAGUUGGUAGGGUAAAAGCCUACCAAGGCGACGAUCCAUAGCUGGUCUGAGAGGAUGAUCAGCCACACUGGGACUGAGACACGGCCCAGACUCCUACGGGAGGCAGCAGUGGGGAAUAUUGGACAAUGGGCGAAAGCCUGAUCCAGCAAUGCCGCGUGAGUGAUGAAGGCCUUAGGGUUGUAAAGCUCUUUUACCCGGGAUGAUAAUGACAGUACCGGGAGAAUAAGCUCCGGCUAACUCCGUG